RNAcentral lists this ribosomal RNA (497 nucleotides) under uncultured bacterium. Its description in RNAcentral is "partial 16S ribosomal RNA". It matches the Rfam family "Bacterial small subunit ribosomal RNA", at positions 28 to 507 of the family's 1533-position model. The record is from RNAcentral.
GAUGAACGCUGGCGGCGUGCCUAAUACAUGCAAGUCGAGCGAACGGACGAGAAGCUUGCUUUUCUGAUGUUAGCGGCGGACGGGUGAGUAACACGUGGAUAACCUACCUAUAAGACUGGGAUAACUUCGGGAAACCGGAGCUAAUACCGGAUAAUCUUUUGAACCUCAUGGUUCAAAAGUGAAAGACGGUCUUGCUGUCACUUAUAGAUGGAUCCGCUCUGCAUUAGCUAGAUGGUAAGGUAACGGCUUACCAAGGCAACGAUGCAUAGCCGACCUGAGAGGGUGAUCGGCCACACUGGAACUGAGACACGGUCCAGACUCCUACGGGAGGCAGCAGUAGGGAAUCUUCCGCAAUGGGCGAGAGCAUGACGGAGCAACGCCGCGUGAGUGAUGAAGGUCUUCGGAGCGUAAAACUCUGUUAUUAGGGAAGAACAUAUGUGUAAGUAACUGUGCACAUAUUGACGGUACCUAAACAGAAAGCACCGGCUAACUACGUG